This 84-nucleotide microRNA precursor is filed under the name Bombyx mori (domestic silkworm). Its description in RNAcentral is "mir-2807 microRNA precursor family". It matches the Rfam family "mir-2807 microRNA precursor family". The record is from Rfam by way of RNAcentral. Lineage: Eukaryota; Metazoa; Arthropoda; Insecta; Lepidoptera; Bombycidae.
UUAACUCAUAUUUGUAUGAAACGGGAUCGUUUGCGUAAGUUUGCCGCUAGGGCCGCUGUUCCAACUGCAUACAAAAUUGGGUUA